RNA transcript from Erigeron canadensis, 1609 nucleotides. It is a transcript of the gene named glyoxylate/hydroxypyruvate reductase HPR3-like, with no coding region annotated. The transcript is spliced from 4 exons. The record is from RefSeq and is a predicted model, not a curated record. NCBI's taxonomy places the organism in Eukaryota, Viridiplantae, Streptophyta, Magnoliopsida, Asterales, Asteraceae.
UUAAAAUUUCUUUCUUCCGUUUAACACCACCCACAGUUGACCUGUAGGUUCCUGCAUUGCUGGAACAGUGGAAUUAUUCAUUAUCGCUGGUCCAAGUUCUAUAAACAUAUGGAAAUACAAGAUUCUUCUAAUAAUGAGAACAUUCUUAAUGACCUUCCAGUUGUUUUGCUUCUUGGGCCACCAGUUAUAUUCAAAACGUAUGAGAGUCAGUUUUCUGAGAAAUUCCGCUUCCUGAAACCCUGGGAAUCUUUAAUGCCUCUCCACCAAUUCUUUUCUACUCAAGCAGGUUUUGUACAAGCUGUGUUCUGCUCUGGUUCACACUCAAUUACCUCUGAUAUCUUGCAGAGUCUACCUGAGCUUCAUUUUAUCAUGACCAGUAGUGCUGGUCUUGAUCAUAUUGACCUUCAUGAGUGCAGACGACGUGGGGUUAAAGUCUCUAAUGCUGGAACGAUUUUCUCAGAAGAUGUUGCUGAUUUGGCCGUGGGCUUGUUGGUUGAUGUCCUAAGAAAAAUUACUGCUGCUAAUCGGUUCGUUAAGGCUGGACUUUGGCACCAGAAUGGAGAUUACCCUCUUGGUCACAAGUUGGGUGGCCGGCGAGUUGGGAUUGUUGGAAUGGGAAGCAUUGGGCUUGAUGUUGCAAAGAGGCUAAACGCCUUAGGUUGCAUCAUCUCAUACACCUCUAGAAACAAAAAACCACAUGUUACAUUCCCUUUUUGUACCGAUAUUCACGAACUUGCAGCAAAUUGUGAGGUCCUGGUAAUCUGCUGUGCAUUAACGGACCAAACCCGUCACAUGAUUGACAGGAGUGUCAUGUUGGCGUUAGGAAAAGAUGGAAUCAUAGUAAACAUUGCACGAGGAGCAACCAUUAAUGAAAAGGAUUUGGUUGAGUGUUUGUUAAAAGGGGAGAUUGCUGGUGCUGGUUUGGAUGUUUUUGAAAAUGAGCCUGAUGUACCCGAAGAACUCUUUCGAUUAGAUAGUGUUGUCAUGACCCCUCAUCACGCGGUGAUGACAGCAGAGUCUAUGAGAGAUCUUUAUGAACUUGUGGUUGGGAAUUUGGAUGCUUUCUUUUCAAACAAACCAUUGAUGUUCCAGGUCGUGUAGGUGUGAAUGUAUCAAUUCAGGAAACAUAUCUGAUUUUGGAGACACUCAAGUAUUGUACAUUACUGCAGUAAGGUUCCUCAAAUUGGUUCUUCAUUCCUGCUUUCAGAGAUGCAGCUUUUGGUGAGUUGGUGCAUUAUGCUUGCGUAUAUAGAUAGGUAGAAGUCCCCUGGGUUAAAACGAGUCUAUGACUGGCUUGGUCAGGAUGUGUUCUUCAGUUUCUCCACCAUGGACCCUGGGACUGGGCCUGAAAGCAUCAAUAGCCGCAACUAUGAGGCUCAAGCCUCUGGCCUGUGGUCUGUCCUUUACACACUCUGGAGGUUCUUUUGUUUCCUGGUUGUUUGGCACUUGGCAGUGAUUACAACUGUGGGUUGGACUUACCUGCAGUUUUUUGUGGUUUUAGUUAGUCAUUAUGUGCAUUUUAAGCUUUAACUACUUCAAUGUGUCUAAAUAUGUAUUAUUGCUGUUUUUAAUUAUUAUUCACCAAUAAAAUCUUUGGCCCUUCAAAAAA